UCCGGUCGCCCGUCGGCUCGCCCCGCGCGGCCGCCAUGUUGGGUGCGGCGCCGCGGCGAGGCCCCGCUAAGGCGCGGGACGGACCUGGGAAGUCCCCCAAGGAGCCCCCCCUUGCUCGGUGGCCUCCCCUCUUAGCUUUACCUCCAGCCUCUCUCAGCCUCGACUUCCCACCUGAGAAUGGGCGCGAAGCGGCAGGCGGGAGGCCAUGUGCAUCCUCUCACUGAGCCGGGCCUUUGCUCCUGGCCAGACCGCUGACAGCACCGGAUGGUCAGCCCGCUGCCGCCUGGGGGGAAAGGAGCAGCGCCUGGAGGACUCGCCAGGUCAGAUGUGUCUCGGCUGCACUUCCGGAGGUUUUCAAAGGAGAAGAUGGAUGGAGCUCCUGCUUGCAACUCCCCCUCCACUCGUUCCGCUGGUCCGGCUCUCAGGUGUGCACGCACGCGGACCGCAUCUGGCCCCAAGCCCCCCCCUUCCUCCCCGAGGCAUCUGUCAGGCGUUUGUCCGAGACAAGCAUGCCCAAACUUCCACCUGCUCAAAUCGAUGUCUCUCUCUAAAAUAAAUUUUAAAAAGAAAACUUA
Long non-coding RNA from Myotis daubentonii (Daubenton's bat), 575 nucleotides. RefSeq lists it as uncharacterized. Lineage: Eukaryota; Metazoa; Chordata; Mammalia; Chiroptera; Vespertilionidae. The transcript is spliced from 2 exons. The record is from RefSeq and is a predicted model, not a curated record.